This 613-nucleotide non-coding RNA is filed under the name Pan troglodytes (chimpanzee). Lineage: Eukaryota; Metazoa; Chordata; Mammalia; Primates; Hominidae. The record is from RNAcentral.
AAAACAAGCUCAGGGCUCCCACUGAUUGUACAUUAUGAGACGGAGUCUUGCUAUGUUGCCCAGGCUGGUCUUGAACUCCUCACCUCAAGCGAUCCUCUCGUCUUGGCCUCCCAAGUGUCAGGAUUACAGGCAUGUGCUAUCACACCCAACCUGAUACAUUGCCUUUAUAAAUUUUUUUUUCUUUAUUCUAAAAACCAGAAAAAACAAAACUGGAUACAUGUGCAGAACAUGCAGGUUUGUUACAUAGCUGUACGUGUGCCAUGGUGGUUUGCUGCACCUAUUGACCUAUCCUCAGGGAAUUUCUUCCACUUGCAGACCAAGUGUGUUGGGGACUUGAGAUGCGUACAUGAGUGUUUGUGAUGUUUCCUGCCGAAAGCACAGGUGAGACGUGGUCUUGUAACACAGUGGUUAAGAAUGUGACUUUGGAGCCAGCCUGCUAGGGGCUGAAUUCUGACUCAGCCAUUUACUAACUGUGUGACCUUAGUCUCACUGUUGCUCAGGCUGGAGUGCAAUGGCAUGAUCUCGGCUCACCACAAUCUCUGCUUCCUGGGUUCAAGCGAUUCUCCUGCCUCAGCCUCCCAAGUACCUGGGACUACAGGCACUCGCCACCAUG